GAUGAACGCUGGCGGCGUGCCUAAUACAUGCAAGUCGAGCGAACAGACGAGGAGCUUGCUCCUUUGACGUUAGCGGCGGACGGGUGAGUAACACGUGGAUAACCUACCUAUAAGACUGGGAUAACUUCGGGAAACCGGAGCUAAUACCGGAUAAUAUUUUGAACCGCAUGGUUCGAUAGUGAAAGAUGGCUUUGCUGUCACUUAUAGAUGGAUCCGCGCCGCAUUAGCUAGUUGGUAAGGUAACGGCUUACCAAGGCAACGAUGCGUAGCCGACCUGAGAGGGUGAUCGGCCACACUGGAACUGAGACACGGUCCAGACUCCUACGGGAGGCAGCAGUAGGGAAUCUUCCGCAAUGGGCGAAAGCCUGACGGAGCAACGCCGCGUGAGUGAUGAAGGUCUUCGGAUCGUAAAACUCUGUUAUUAGGGAAGAACAAAUGUGUAAGUAACUGUGCACGUCUUGACGGUACCUAAUCAGAAAGCCACGGCUAACUACGUG
RNAcentral lists this ribosomal RNA (497 nucleotides) under uncultured bacterium. RNAcentral's name for it is "partial 16S ribosomal RNA". It matches the Rfam family "Bacterial small subunit ribosomal RNA", at positions 28 to 507 of the family's 1533-position model. The record is from RNAcentral.